GAUGAACGCUGGCGGCGUGCCUAACACAUGCAAGUCGAGCGAUCUUCUUCGGAAGAGAGCGGCGGACGGGUGAGUAACGCGUGGGUAACCUGCCCUGUACACACGGAUAACAUACCGAAAGGUAUGCUAAUACGAGAUAAUAUGCUUUUGUCGCAUGGUAGAAGUAUCAAAGCUCCGGCGGUACAGGAUGGACCCGCGUCUGAUUAGCUAGUUGGUAAGGUAACGGCUUACCAAGGCGACGAUCAGUAGCCGACCUGAGAGGGUGAUCGGCCACAUUGGAACUGAGACACGGUCCAAACUCCUACGGGAGGCAGCAGUGGGGAAUAUUGCACAAUGGGCGAAAGCCUGAUGCAGCAACGCCGCGUGAGCGAUGAAGGCCUUCGGUCGUAAGCUCUGUCAGAUGGGAAGAAAUAGGAUGGGGCGUAAUAAUCGCCCACUCCUUCGACGGUACCGAUCAGAGGAAGCACCGGCUAACUCCGUGCC
RNAcentral lists this ribosomal RNA (483 nucleotides) under uncultured bacterium. RNAcentral's name for it is "bacterial SSU rRNA". It matches the Rfam family "Bacterial small subunit ribosomal RNA", at positions 28 to 509 of the family's 1533-position model. The record is from RNAcentral.